GAUGAACGCUGGCGGCGUGCUUAACACAUGCAAGUCGAACGGAAAGGCCCAAGCUUGCUUGGGUACUCGAGUGGCGAACGGGUGAGUAACACGUGCGUGAUCUGCCCUGCACUUCGGGAUAAGCCUGGGAAACUGGGUCUAAUACCGGAUAGGACCACAUUUUGGAUGGUGUGGUGGAAAGUUUUUCGGUGUGGGAUGAGCUCGCGGCCUAUCAGCUUGUUGGUGGGGUAAUGGCCUACCAAGGCGUCGACGGGUAGCCGGCCUGAGAGGGUGUACGGCCACAUUGGGACUGAGAUACGGCCCAGACUCCUACGGGAGGCAGCAGUGGGGAAUAUUGCACAAUGGGCGCAAGCCUGAUGCAGCGACGCCGCGUGGGGGAUGACGGCCUUCGGGUUGUAAACUCCUUUCGCUAGGGACGAAGCGCAAGUGACGGUGCCUGGAGAAGAAGCACCGGCUAACUACGUG
RNAcentral lists this ribosomal RNA (465 nucleotides) under uncultured bacterium. RNAcentral's name for it is "partial 16S ribosomal RNA". It matches the Rfam family "Bacterial small subunit ribosomal RNA", at positions 28 to 507 of the family's 1533-position model. The record is from RNAcentral.